AGUCUGGAGGGUUCGCUGCAAUCAGUGCUACAGCUUUAGAAACUGUGAUUUACUGCUGAUUUAAAACUCUUUAAAGAGCCGACUUCCUGCCGAUGGGGCUGAGGGAAGAGCGGCAGGCGCAGUGCUGGCAGAGACUCCGGCAGGGCCUCGUGCGGGGGCCGGGAGCAGCGCCUUCUUUUUAGGAAACGACGCUUCAGGCUCAGGCCCGUCCAUGCUCCUCUCCCGUGUGAGUGCAGAGAAGGUCCUGGGUUCUGUCUGCUGCUUCACUCUGGGGAAGCUGAUGGAACUGCCGCCAUUUCCCAAAGUAAAGGAGGUGAGCUCUGGGGUGGGUGAGGUUUCAUCGGUAGCCCGGCCUCCGUGGAUCGCUGCAUGAGCCGGGAAGCUUAUCAGCGACUGAGCUGGCCGUGUUUAGGAGGACGGGGUGAUGCCACUGACACUGAGGGAGGCGUGAAGCCUGAGACGCGCCUGUGAGACCGGGACCGGUGGGGCCGGCGCGCGCCCAGAUUCCAGCUCUGCCCCAGGAGCCUGAAGCCCCCAGCAACCUGCAGUGUGGGCUCUGAGAAACUCGGUGAAACAGGGCUUCCCUGCAGGUGGCCAGCGGAUGGGACAAUCAGGGCAGACUUGGAGGUCUCUGAAGUCUUGGAAAGUCUGAAGGGCAGGCCAGCCUGGGAGAUGGAGGACACACUGGAGUGGCAGGUGCCUCGGGCGGCCGGCUGAGCACCAAAGAGGGACUUCUCACACACAGGUCCGCUUGGUCUCCUACACGCUUGCCCACGCGCUCCGUGGAUGCAGGAGCCGUGGUUAUCCUUGGCAGAAGGUUGAGUAGCACCUGCCUUGCCAGGGACCUGCUCCAAGCAGGCACGUCUGGUGAAUGCUGUGCCAGGCCCUUCCGGGAGCAGCCCCUCCCCGGGUGCCGGGGUCACCUGGCUCUGCCUGCCUGCAUGUGGAUCCCUGCGGGGCAGCGGGCACCCGGAUGACGUGGUUUUCCCUCACUGGAUUGGAGUGGAGUGAAUUUAACCCCCUCGUGGCUGCCAUCAUUUUCACUGUGAGGGAAGAGCAGCCGUGCCGUGGUGGUUUUAGAUGUCGUCUGUGGAGGACAUCAGGCUGACAUCCACGUCCUGGACUCCCCCUCGUUUGGUUUCAGAAUUUCUCUUAAAGACAACAUCAUAUUGUGACCCCAAAGCAUUCGAUAGAAAUAUCAAAAUUUUAAGGCACUUUGAGAAUUAAGAUAAAAUAUCUGUAAAUAUUAUGUCAAAUUUCACCA
Long non-coding RNA from Homo sapiens (human), 1264 nucleotides. The record is from Ensembl. NCBI's taxonomy places the organism in Eukaryota, Metazoa, Chordata, Mammalia, Primates, Hominidae.